RNAcentral lists this long non-coding RNA (1838 nucleotides) under Athene cunicularia (burrowing owl). Its description in RNAcentral is "lncRNA (ENSACUG00000002923.1)". The record is from RNAcentral. Lineage: Eukaryota; Metazoa; Chordata; Aves; Strigiformes; Strigidae.
AGUGGAUGCAAAAGUGAUUAAUGUUGGGGAGUCAUUGAUGGACUGUGGCCUUUGUGAAAGUGAUGAAUUUUGCAAUUUCCAAAAGACACCUUCACAAUGUGAAAAAUGCACAUUGUGUCCUGCUGGUUUCUUCCAAAUGGCCGAGUGUUCUGCAAACUCUGAUAGGAUUUGCCAGGACAGAGAUGAAUGCACUGAAUCUCCAAGCAUUUGUGGUGAGAGGAUAAAAUGCCUGAAUACUCCGGGUGGUUUCCGAUGCCUUGGAAUUGCUGAGAAAGAUGCAGCUUUGGGAGUGUGUGGAGAGGAGUAUUUCUUUAAUAAGGAAAUGCAGGAAUGCCAAGCGUGUUUAAAAUGUGAAGAUGGAAUGGUGGCCAUGCCUUGUUCCACUGUCAGUGAUACAGUUUGUUCGGUAACUAGUGAAAACAAGCUCUCAGAGUCUUGGGCUGCAAACAUCAUUCUACCCUCUGUAAAGUCUGGCAUCUCUCAGGUCUACUCUGGCUUGAACUUGAAGAUAAAAGGAAAGCUUCCCUGUGAAAUCCUAUCUGUUGAAGAUAACAGCCUGGUGUUCAGGCAACAUGGUUUGUUGUGGACUGACCUAAAUUUUGCAGUAAAGCACAACUGCAGGAAUUUUUUGCAACUUUCCUUAAAGCUUAAUGGCAGUGAGGAAGGCUAUGAACUGAGCGGUGUUCGCAUUGAACAGCCAGAAGGAAAGUAUUUCCAGAGCACUAGUUUAAGCAGUGCUGCUGAAGUGGAGCCCAGCCAAACUCUCUCUGUGUAUUUGAGGAGCCCAAAUCAAUUCUGCAAUCAAAGUAAAGACUUAAAUAUUUAUGAUCUUAAUACCCCACUCAGUUUGUUUUGGUUGUCCCAUGACACAGGUGCUGUGGCACUCAGUGCACAGAUGUCAACAGCAAUGCAUUACCAAACCAACUAUCGACCUACCUUUAAAAUAAUUUCUGUUUCCGACCCUUACAUGCUAAGUUUAUCUCAUGAUGGCAGAGCGAUAAAGUUCACUGAAACUGGUGUUGUCAAAUUUGUGUUCCACCAAGCAUUGUAUUCUAUGGGUCAUACCUGUGUCCGGGAGGGCUUCUCCUUAAUUUCCUAUAUCAAUAGGAAUGGUACCAACAGAGAAUUAAUGAAUGUAUUUAAAUCUGGGGUAAAUUACAGAGAUACAUCGAUAUCUGCUUCCUGGGCCACAAAAGUUGGUGCUGGAGAUCUGAUUAGCUUUGAGAUACUCUCUCCUGCACAGUGUAAUGUUCGGUAUUUUGGAGAUAGUUCUGGAAUUAGUAUGUUUAGUCUCAUCUGGAUCCCUUCAGCAGUUUCUAGUGCCUUAUCAGCCACAGUUUCUGUUACAGGUCUGCCCACUGGAGCCGUGAGAAACAAAUUAUUGGAUUUCACGCAGGUCUCAUCCAAUGAGAAACAGAUACAGCUGAUUUCUUCUGGACAGCUUGCUCAAAAGUAUUUCAUUUUUACUGAAAAGGGAGUUGCCAGCCUUGCAUUUAACUUAAAGCUAAUCCACUCAUGCAAUGUGCUCAAAAUGACUCUCAAUCAGUUGACCAUGGAUCACAUGCAACCCACAGCAAUUGCUCAGCAGAUUGGAGGUCAGAUGCCAGAGGGAAGCACAUGGACCAGUGUGUCCCUCCGUGCAUCUUUUGAAGUACAUAAUGGAACAUUGAUAGCAGUCUCUCUUGACUGUGUGCGUGGAAGGAUCAAUCAGAUCACUCAUGAACAGGGAACCAGUAUAUCUAUUUUAUGGAUUUCAUCUUAAUUUCUGUACAGUGAAGUUAGCACAGAAUUGGGAUUUAAAUCGCAUUUGGGUUCUACUCUGAUUCUGUACAUAUUUG